CCAUAGCUAGUGUGAGUACGCUCACAGCGACGAUGGUAGCGGCUGAGAGGGUGGACACACACUGGACUGAGACACGGCCAGACUCUWCGGGAGGCAGCAGUAGGGAUAUGCGCAAUGGACGGAAGUCUGACGCAGCGACGCGCGUGAGCGAUGAAGGUCUUCGGAUCGUAAAGCUCUGUCCUUGGGGAAGAAGGCGAAAGCUUGACGGUACCCAAGAAGAAAGCCCCGGCUAACUACGUGCCAGCAGCCGCGGUAAUACGUAGGGGGCGAGCGUUGUCCGGAAUUACUGGGCGUAAAGGGUGCGUAGGCGGCCCUUUAAGUCGGAUGUGAAAGCCCGCGGCUUAACCGCGGAAUGGCAUUCGAAACUGGAGGGCUUGAGUGUCGGAGAGGGUAGUGGAAUUCCCAGUGUAGCGGUGAAAWRMGWARAWAUUGGGAGGAACACCAGUGGCGAAGGCGACUACCUGGACGAUAACUGACGCUGAGGCACGAAAGCUAGGGGAGCAAACAGGAUUAGAUACCCUGGUAGUCCUAGCCGUAAACGAUGGGUACUAGGUGUAGGUGGUUUCGAUACCAUCCGUGCCGUAGUUAACGCAUUAAGUACCCCGCCUGGGGAGUACGUGCGCAAGCAUGAAACUCAAAGGAAUUGACGG
RNAcentral lists this ribosomal RNA (650 nucleotides) under uncultured Synergistota bacterium. RNAcentral's name for it is "bacterial SSU rRNA". It matches the Rfam family "Bacterial small subunit ribosomal RNA", at positions 237 to 916 of the family's 1533-position model. The record is from RNAcentral. Lineage: Bacteria; Thermotogati; Synergistota.